UGCCUCCAUCCUUUGAUCCAGAAUCAAAAGGGCAGCAAGUAGCAGUUUGCUGUCUGUAGUGAGCAGGAGGCUGUUCAGCUGGACAGCUUUGGAGCAGGGGAAAUCAAUUAGGAAAUCUCCUUCUCACUGGAUUUUAAAUAGUGCUGGAGGCAGUGCUAGGAAGGAGGGCUGGAGGUCCUGGUGUAAAUUGAUUUAGAGUGGGGGUUCUGGAUUUAUUUUAUCAAGGAUGUAUGUUUGAAAGGAUGGGAUUUGAAGUGGUAGAUGUGAGAGAAAAGCCUGAGUAUGAACGUGCCAACCAUUUUUCCUUUUCUUUUACAGGUGAAACUACAGCUUGAACUCAGGGUACAAAGGAGAUAUGACAUCUUUAGAGCCAUACUCUACAGGACUCAAGUAGUUGCUGGGAUGAUGUACUUGAUUAAGGUCCAAGUUGCUGAUACUGAAUAUGUCCACUUAAAGGUAAUUUCGGGCCUUCCUCCGGAGAAGUUAUUUCCUGACCUUGACAGUUUUCAGACUGGCAAGACCGGAGAUGAUCCUCUGGACUUCUUCUGAGACACGAUGAGGGCAGUGCCUCACUUCUACAAGUCACGUGGGGGUUCUGACCAUGACAGUAAAUGCAUGAAAAUAAAAUAAGGCUUGAAAGCUA
Pipra filicauda (Wire-tailed manakin) is the source of this 643-nucleotide long non-coding RNA. RefSeq lists it as uncharacterized. The transcript is spliced from 2 exons. NCBI's taxonomy places the organism in Eukaryota, Metazoa, Chordata, Aves, Passeriformes, Pipridae. The record is from RefSeq and is a predicted model, not a curated record.